RNAcentral lists this ribosomal RNA (497 nucleotides) under uncultured bacterium. RNAcentral describes it as "partial 16S ribosomal RNA". It matches the Rfam family "Bacterial small subunit ribosomal RNA", at positions 28 to 507 of the family's 1533-position model. The record is from RNAcentral.
GAUGAACGCUGGCGGCGUGCCUAAUACAUGCAAGUCGAGCGAACGGACGAGAAGCUUGCUUUUCUGAUGUUAGCGGCGGACGGGUGAGUAACACGUGGAUAACCUACCUAUAGGACUGGGAUAACUUCGGGAAACCGGAGCUAAUACCGGAUAAUAUUUUGAACCGCAUGGUUCAUAAGUGAAAGACGGUCUUGCUGUCACUUAUAGAUGGAUCCGCGCUGCAUUAGCUAGUUGGUAAGGUAACGGCUUACCAAGGCAACGAUGCAUAGCCGACCUGAGAGGGUGAUCGGCCACACUGGAACUGAGACACGGUCCGGACUCCUACGGGAGGCAGCAGAGGGGAAUCUUCCGCAAUGGGCGAAAGCCUGACGGAGCAACGCCGCGUGAGUGAUGAAGGUCUUCGGAUCGUAAAACUCUGUUAUUGGGGAAGAACAUAUGUGUAAGUAACUGUGCACAUCUUGACGGUACCUAAUCAGAAAGCCACGGCUAACUACGUG